AUGGGUUCUAGAUUUCCAUCACAUCAGCUGAGCAAUGGCCUGUAUGUAUCUGGCCGACCUGAGCAACCUAAGGAGAAAGCCCCAACCAUUAGCUCCAAUUUGAUGCCGUACACUCAUGGUGACUUGAAGAAAUCUGGAGAGUUUGGGAAGAUGUUUGACCUCCAUGCUGACAAGUCCAGAAAAUCUGGUCCUCUGGGCAAUGCGCCUUCGAGUAAUACUUUAUUUGGGGGUGCUGCUUCCAACUCUGGACCUGUCUCUAAUGCUGGUGGCCGGUCAAACUACUCUGGUUCUCUUUCAUCUUCACUUCCUGGUGCUGGAGGAUCAGCAAGAGCAAAAUCUAACUCCGGACCAUUCAAUAAGCAUCGAGAACAAGCAAAGUGGUCAACCAGUCCCCAGUCUGGAGGUGUGACCCCAAUGGCUCGCCAGAAUUCUGGCCCUCUACCUCCAGUGCUUCCUACAACUGGGCUUAUCACAUCUGGCCCUCAUUCUUCCGGGCCACUGAAUUCGUCUGGUGCUCCAAGAAGAAAAGUAUCUGGAUCUCUUGAUUGUGCUGCAUCAAUGAAGGUGCAGGCUACAUCGCUUGCUCACAACCAGGCUGUUACUACUCUCACCACCGAAAGUAGUUUCUCAGUUAAGGGAAGCAUUUCGAAGUUGGUACUCUGUGGCAGGAGAGGCGUGCUCGGGUUUGUCAAUAGCUAUCCUGAUACUGAUCUCAUAACUGCAAAAGGUGGAGAGUAUGUGAAGGUUACAGGGGUUGUUACGUGUGGAAAUUUCCCACUGCAGUCCUCAUUUCAAAGGAUUCCGAGAUGUGUGUACACUUCAACUAGGCUGUAUGAGUAUAGGGGUUGGGAUUCAAAAAUUGCAAACCCCAAGCAUCGCCGGUUUACCUGGGGAUUACAGACAGCAGAGCGCUUUGCGGUAGAUUUCUACAUUUCCGAUUUUCAAUCUGGGCUUCGAGCAUUGGUGAGAACAGGAAGUGGUGCACGGGUGACACCAUAUGUCGAUGAACCGGUAGUAAUUGACAUCAAUCCUGAGAACAAGGACAUGUCUCCUGAAUUUCUAAGAUGGCUACGAGAAAGGAACCUCUCAAGUGAUGGUCGGAAAAUGCGCCUAAAAGAAGGAUACAUCAAGGAAGGAAGCACUGUGAGUGUGAUGGGGGUUGUUCAAAAGAGCGGGAGCAUGUUGAUGAUAGUACCUCCAUCGGAGCCUGUCUCAUCUGGUUGCCUGUGGGGGAAGUGCCUAUUCCCAUCGAACCUUGACGGACUAGUCUUGAGAUGUGAAGAUACUUCAGACAUGGAUGUCAUACCAGUAUAG
RNAcentral lists this ribosomal RNA (1314 nucleotides) under Triticum aestivum (bread wheat). Its description in RNAcentral is "partial small subunit ribosomal RNA". Lineage: Eukaryota; Viridiplantae; Streptophyta; Magnoliopsida; Poales; Poaceae. The record is from RNAcentral.